CGCUGUUCUCAGGGCGGGGUGAAACUCCCCACCGGCGGUAAGGCGGCAACGCCAAGCCCGCGAGCGCUUCCAGCUUGAGUUGGAAGGUCAGCAGAUCCGGUGUGAUUCCGGAGCCGACGGUUAUAGUCCGGAUGAAAGAGAAAGAGU
Molecule: non-coding RNA, 147 nt
Filed under: Devosia soli
Lineage: Bacteria; Pseudomonadati; Pseudomonadota; Alphaproteobacteria; Hyphomicrobiales; Devosiaceae
Description: FMN sequence
Rfam family: FMN riboswitch aptamer (RFN element)
About the family: The RFN element is a highly conserved domain that is found frequently in the 5'-untranslated regions of prokaryotic mRNAs that encode for flavin mononucleotide (FMN) biosynthesis and transport proteins. This element is a metabolite-dependent riboswitch that directly binds FMN in the absence of proteins. In Bacillus subtilis, the riboswitch most likely controls gene expression by causing premature transcription termination within the 5' untranslated region of the ribDEAHT operon and precluding access to the ribosome-binding site of ypaA mRNA.
Source: Rfam by way of RNAcentral